Long non-coding RNA from Manis pentadactyla (Chinese pangolin), 4096 nucleotides. RefSeq lists it as uncharacterized. The transcript has 3 exons. NCBI's taxonomy places the organism in Eukaryota, Metazoa, Chordata, Mammalia, Pholidota, Manidae. The record is from RefSeq and is a predicted model, not a curated record.
GAUAUGUCUGAGGUCUGAGGCUCUUUAAAUAUCACACAAGAAUAAGAACUGGCUAGAUCUGAAAAUUCUUAUUCUAUAUCCUCUAAACCUGUGGUUCCCAAACUUUCUACGAUGACUUAAUGUUAGCUAUCACUUACUAUUCCUGCCAAGACUCUCCAAAAUAGUAAUGCUGAAGAUGUGACAGGAAGAAUAACCAAAAUAGCACCAUUUUGAGUGCCUACUCUUAAUAAGCAUUAUAAACAUACUUAUUUAGUCCUCAUGCAUCUCCAGGGAGAAGGCGCUAUUCACAUUUUUCAGGUGAGGAGUAUCAGAGUAAAUAAUAUUUCUUAGGUCACAAGGCUAGCAAGCAGUGAACCCUGCGGAUAAAGUCCUCGAGUCAGAGGGAGACCAGAGAGAGGAGAGGAGAACCUUUCUGGUCACUAACCAAAAGAAUGAGCUGUAUGAGGGUUCAAAGAUCACCAUGAAGUUGCAGAGUUUAAGGAAAAGUGAGAUAAUCAUGAAAAUAAACAACAAGUAAGGCUGGAGGUAAAUGGCACUGGUAGUUGUCUGAAAGGCUUCAGGAUACCUUCUUUGAGAAGAUGUCUACUUGAAUAAGUCUUAAAGGGUAUGAUCAAUGCUGAUGAAUACAUAUUAUUUUCACCUUAUUUUUCUUUCUGAUUCAUAUAACACUGAUUUCUUCAGAACAAGCAUGUGAUUAGUAAACAGCUAUAAUUUCCAGCUUCCCUUAUAGCUAAGAUUAAAUUAUGAUAUAAUUUUGGCCAAUGAAAUAUAUUUGGAAGUUUCUGGAUAUGGAAAUUUUUAAAAAGGAGAUAGACUUAGCUACCACAUGAUGUUUUUCCCUUUUCCUUCUUUCCUGCCUAGAAUGUAGAUAUGGUAAUGGUGAUGGAGCAGCCUUUUUGCAAACAUGAGGCAACAAACAGAAGAAUAAAAUCUCUAGUGUAUUUGAACUGGAGAGAGAAAAGCACAUUUCCAGAUAUUAGGGGAACCCAAGACCCUUCCACCAGCCUGCCUGGCCAAAUGGAUAUCCCAAGGACGGUGUUCCAAGGGAGGUGGUGACAUCAGGGCCGUGGCUAAUGGGAAGCAGCCCGAGGCACAUGGGAGAGUGGGAGAACUGGAAAGACGUGGGUGUUGCUCAAGUUAAAUUGUUUGGGUAUCUGUGAAGGAACUUGGCAGGUUCCUUCUACUCUUCACAAUCCCUCUCUCAGUUUACGACAAAUGUGAAUCGUAAUCCAAACAAAAGCAGGGGAAUUAGGGUAAGAGUUUUCCUCUCUAACUGUUCUUGGUUUAUUCAAAGCUCUUUUGGGACAAAAGAAAAAAAAUCAACGAUCAUCAGUAUUUGAAGACAAAUUCUUUCUGAAAAUAUGUAGGCUUGUACAUAAGUGUGAUUUGCUGAAACCUGUUUUCCAAUUUAGCCCAUUUGACUUGUUAAAACUGAACCCUGUUGUAGCAUCACAAACAUUUAGUUAUUUGAUAAACUACUGUAUUUCUCUGAAGCAAAGCAAAGCAAAGCAAAACAAAAAGCUAUAUACUCUUAGCUAUAGCUAUCUAUCUAAAUAUAAAUAUAUAAAUAAGUAUUUCAGUGGGACCUCUUUGCUCAAUCAAGGCAUACCUAUAAAAUGAAAAUGUUUAUUUUAAGAUUUAAUUAUUAUUUGGCUUCUCCUUACUCACAACUAUAGCUUACUUUAUGAAAUAUCAGAUCAGUUUCAGUGGGAAGGAGCAGUUUUGCCUCUCCUGAAAAACAGACCUUGGAUUGGUGGGGAUUCCUAUCCGAUGGGAUAGAUUUCUUUUCAUUUCAUCUCAUUACUUGUGUGUGUGUGUGUGUGUGUGUGUGUGUGUGUGUGUGUGUGUGUGUGUGUUUCCCUUCCUAACUCACUCACUGUACUUUAUCCCUUCAGAGCUACAGAAGUUUAUUUGGGACUCCUUUUUGGCACAACUAAAUGUUUAUUUUAGAGAUUAUCUUACUUCAGCUAUGGUUACAAUUUUGUAUUUUUAAAAGUUUACAAAUUCAAAUUUUAUGAGCUGGUUUCUCCAUUACUAUUUGGAGAAUCAAGAAAGUAGUUCUGCAAGUUAUCUUAUGUAUUGACCUUGGAAAUAAAGGGAACUUAGGACUGGAACUCUCAGAGCUGGAAAGAAACAACUUGCAAUACACUGGGGUCAGUAUGCAAGGAAAAUGGAAGCUCAGAGAUGAUGGUUAUGAUUUUCCCAAGAGCCCAUCCUGCUGGCUAGUAGGAAAAGUUGCCCCAAAACUAGUCCAGUGUACCAUACAUAUAUAAAGUGAACAGUUUCUAGUUAUAAUAAAAGAGAGUGCAAAAAUUCCUCAAAUGGUAAUUACAACUAAUUUGCACCAUAGGUUUCAGGUAGGAGUCUCAGGAAGUUGAAGAACCUUCAUAGUUACUCUGCAUAAAAUUAAAUUGAUGGAGACACCAGAGAAGGCUGAUUGAUUCUUCUACUAGAUUACUCAUUCCUCACUUAAUAAAAGGCUGGCAUUCUUUGACUUUUUUUGUUUUUUUUGUAAUGGAAGAUGAGACUAGAGUAGACUCAUGCUAUGAAAUGUCAGUAUUUGUAAAUUUCCAUCUUCUCUUCCUUAGGUAAGCCAUCAGACCUGCUAUCAUACAGCAGGACUCUCUACUGUGUUUGAACUUCUGCUUUUAGAGGGUAGGAUCAGAAAAUGAUCAAAAUGCAAGAAACAUGUAAAUUAUAUGGGUGAUUUUAAGGUGUAUGUAUAAAACCAUUUAUUUAGCAUUUACAAUGUUCUAGCUGCUCUGUUAAUACUUCCUGUUGUACUAAGUUAUUUCGUCUUGCAGAAAACACUGAGAUCAGUGCCUUCACUCCAUUUUACAGAUAAUCUUGAGCUUAGAGAAGUGAAGUAACUGACUUGAAAGCAGAGGAAAUAGAAAUCUUAACCCCUAUGAUGUACUACACAAUGGAGAAUCUGUGGCUGAAUAAUUUUCCAGGCAAUAAUUACAAAUUACCAAAAAUGCACCAUUAAAAUAGUAGUCAAAUCUCAAGAUUGCUGGUUGUUAGUUGACAUUAUCACCUGACAUUUCAUCAUUAGAAGGAAAGGACAGGAAGUUUUCCAGACAUUACACCAAAAGAGCUUUAAAAAUUACUAUUAUUUUAUAUACCAACCUCUAAAUCAUAAAACUCAAUUAAUUUCCACUUGGUAAGGUAGCGGUUGGCCAGUCUGUUUUGUAGUGUCUCAACUUUAGUACUAUUUGAAUGCUUACACAGUCUUCUUAUUCAUAACAGUUGCGACUGAAAGCCCUUCAGCUUAGAAGUUGUUCUUUUUUCUAACUUGAUUUAAUAAGUGACUGGGCUACUUAAUAAUCCAUGAAUAUAUAUUCUCAUGUGAGUAGCAAAUUUGCCAACUUAGAGAACCCAGCCUAAGAAUUUCUGACUAGGUUCAUCAUUCCACCUGCUAUCUUGUUUAAAGUAUCAAAUUUUGUCCAAACACUUCCUUCCUAAAUUAUAAAAAGGAAACUAACUUUGCUCCGGUGGAAUUACCAUAUUCAGAUUGAAACUCAGUUUAUCAAGGCAUUCAUUCGCGGAUGUGAUUCAGACUACUGGGUCUAAAUGUUAAGAUUUCAAAUCUUUGAACCAGAACAUAUAUUCACUACCAGAAAUCCUAUGUUUUCAGUGAAAUCCAUUUGAAAUACCUGCCACAGCUCUUCUUGAGCCGUAUUCAGGCAGCAAAACAAUUAAAAAGUGCACAGUGGUCUUAACUGACCAGCAUCCUAAAGAAGCAUGUUAAAUUCAGCUUUUGGGUUUAACGAAGGGCUGAGGUAUAAUACGCAAUCACCUUUCUUUGGGCUGGAUUGUGCAUUAUUUGGUGAACUUUUCCAAAAUCCAGCCAGCACCCUUCCUCUGACCACCCAGUCUGUUCUUUAGACAGCAUCCUCUCUGUCCCCUCUGUAUGCUUUCUGGAUCUGCUUAGGCACUGCACAGUCAUCUGACUACUAAACUAAGUUAAACACAAUUGGUAAAGGGAAGCUGCCAAGAAGCAAUCUGAUCCAUUGCAUUUCAAAAUCAAGUCUAUUCUAAAUGCCUGAUGUCCAUAGACCUGAAUCCACAAACUCUUCAAAUAAAAGAAAGUUGA